RNAcentral lists this ribosomal RNA (1168 nucleotides) under uncultured beta proteobacterium. RNAcentral describes it as "bacterial SSU rRNA". It matches the Rfam family "Bacterial small subunit ribosomal RNA", at positions 96 to 1263 of the family's 1533-position model. The record is from RNAcentral. RNAcentral also lists the same sequence under 1 other name. Lineage: Bacteria; Pseudomonadati; Pseudomonadota; Betaproteobacteria.
UGGCGAACGGGUGAGUAAUACAUCGGAACGUGCCCAGUAGCGGGGGAUAACCUCUCGAAAGAGAGGCUAAUACCGCAUACGUCCUACGGGAGAAAGAGGGGGAUCGCAAGACCUCUCACUAUUGGAGCGGCCGAUGUCGGAUUAGCUAGUUGGCGGGGUAAUGGCCCACCAAGGCUACGAUCCGUAGCUGGUCUGAGAGGACGACCAGCCACACUGGAACUGAGACACGGUCCAGACUCCUACGGGAGGCAGCAGUGGGGAAUUUUGGACAAUGGGCGAAAGCCUGAUCCAGCCAUGCCGCGUGGGUGAAGAAGGCUUUCGGGUUGUAAAGCCCUUUCGGCUGGGACGAAAAGGUCCGCGCUAACACCGCGGAUCCAUGACGGUACCAGCAGAAGAAGCACCGGCUAACUACGUGCCAGCAGCCGCGGUAAUACGUAGGGUGCAGGCGUUAAUCGGAAUUACUGGGCGUAAAGCGUGCGCAGGCGGUCUCUUAAGACAGGUGUGAAAUCCCCGAGCUUAACUUGGGAACUGCGCUUGUAACUGAGAGGCUAGAGUGUGGCAGAGGGGGGUGGAAUUCCACGUGUAGCAGUGAAAUGCGUAGAGAUGUGGAGGAACACCGAUGGCGAAGGCAGCCCCCUGGGCUAACACUGACGCUCAUGCACGAAAGCGUGGGGAGCAAACAGGAUUAGAUACCCUGGUAGUCCACGCCCUAAACUAUGUCAACUGGUUGUCGGGGAAGCAAUUCCUUGGUAACGAAGCUAACGCGUGAAGUUGACCGCCUGGGGAGUACGGCCGCAAGGUUAAAACUCAAAGGAAUUGACGGGGACCCGCACAAGCGGUGGAUUAUGUGGAUUAAUUCGAUGCAACGCGAAAAACCUUACCUACCCUUGACAUGCCAGGAACCCUCCAGAGAUGGAGGGGUGCCCGAAAGGGAACCUGGACACAGGUGCUGCAUGGCUGUCGUCAGCUCGUGUCGUGAGAUGUUGGGUUAAGUCCCGCAACGAGCGCAACCCUUGCCAUUAGUUGCCACAUUCAGUUGGGCACUCUAAUGGGACUGCCGGUGACAAACCGGAGGAAGGUGGGGAUGACGUCAGUCCUCAUGGCCCUUAUGGGUAGGGCUUCACACGUAAUACAAUGGCCGGUACAGAGGGCAGCCAACCCGCGAGGG